RNAcentral lists this ribosomal RNA (253 nucleotides) under uncultured bacterium. RNAcentral describes it as "partial 16S ribosomal RNA". It matches the Rfam family "Bacterial small subunit ribosomal RNA", at positions 524 to 776 of the family's 1533-position model. The record is from RNAcentral.
UACGUAGGUGGCAAGCGUUGUCCGGAUUUAUUGGGUUUAAAGGGUGCGUAGGCGGUCCUAUAAGUCAGUUGUGAAAUACGGCAGCUUAACUGUCGAGGUGCAAUUGAUACUGCAGGACUUGAGUACAGACGAGGUAGGCGGAAUUGACGGUGUAGCGGUGAAAUGCUUAGAUAUCGUCAAGAACACCGAUAGCGAAGACAGCUUACUAGACUGUAACUGACGCUGAUGCACGAAAGUGUGGGGAUCAAACAGG